Molecule: ribosomal RNA, 486 nt
Filed under: uncultured bacterium
Lineage: Bacteria
Description: partial 16S ribosomal RNA
Rfam family: Bacterial small subunit ribosomal RNA
Source: RNAcentral
AUUGAACGCUGGCGGCAUGCCUUACACAUGCAAGUCGAACGGCAGCACGGGUGCUUGCACCUGGUGGCGAGUGGCGAACGGGUGAGUAAUACAUCGGAACAUGUCCUGUAGUGGGGGAUAGCCCGGCGAAAGCCGGAUUAAUACCGCAUACGAUCUACGGAUGAAAGCGGGGGACCUUCGGGCCUCGCGCUGUAGGGUUGGCCGAUGGCUGAUUAGCUAGUUGGUGGGGUAAAGGCCUACCAAGGCGACGAUCAGUAGCUGGUCUGAGAGGACGACCGGCCACACUGGGACUGAGACACGGCCCAGACUCCUACGGGAGGCAGCAGUGGGGAAUUUUGGACAAUGGGCGAAAGCCUGAUCCAGCAAUGCCGCGUGUGUGAAGAAGGCCUUCGGGUUGUAAAGCACUUUUGUCCGGAAAGAAAUCCUUGGCCCUAAUACGGUCGGGGGAUGACGGUACCGGAAGAAUAAGCACCGGCUAACUACGUG